RNAcentral lists this ribosomal RNA (1442 nucleotides) under Euplotes focardii. Its description in RNAcentral is "partial Eukaryotic small subunit ribosomal RNA". It matches the Rfam family "Eukaryotic small subunit ribosomal RNA", at positions 420 to 1830 of the family's 1831-position model. The record is from RNAcentral. Lineage: Eukaryota; Ciliophora; Spirotrichea; Euplotida; Euplotidae.
GGAAGGCAGCAGGCGCGUAAAUUACCCAAUCCUGACUCAGGGAGGUAGUGACAAGAAAUAACAGACCGGAGCCUCUGGUUCCGGGAUUGCAAUGAGUACAAUUUAGACUCCUUAACAAGUAACAAUUGGAGGGCAAGUCUGGUGCCAGCAGCCGCGGUAAUUCCAGCUCCAAUAGUGUAUAUUAAUGUUCCUGCAGUUAUUCGAUGCUCGUAGUUGGAUUUCUGGAGGCUGAGACAGGAGGGCAGCCAAGGUUGUCGCCAGUCUCUUCCUUCAUCCGCCUGUUAACGUUGUCCGGGAUUUAUUUCUCGGCUUCGGGCUCAGGUACUUUUUUUGUUUUACCCUUUCUUUAUAUUCAUUUAUUUAUCUUUAUUUUUUGAGCAAAUUAUAGUGUUUCAGGCAGGCGUGCGCCGGAAUACAUUAGCAUGGAAUAAUCGAAUUGGACCGUGUAUUCACUAUGUGAAUUCUUCCUUAUUUGUUGGUUCUAAGGACACGGAUAUGAUUAAUAGGGAUAGUAAUUUUCAGGGGAGGCAUUAGUAUUUAAUUUCCAGAGGUGAAAUUCUUUGAAAUAUUAAAGACUAACUUAUGCGAAAGCAUUUAUUUUGCCAAUAAUGUUUUCAUUAAUCAUUGAACGAAAGUUAGGGGAUCAAAGACGAUCAGAUACCGUCCUAGUCUUAACCAUAAACGUUGCCGACUAGGGAUCGGAGGGCGUGCACAUUCCGCCUUCGGCACCUUACGAGAAAUCAAAGUCUUUUGGGUUCUGGGGGUAGUAUGGUCGCAAGGCUGAAACUUAAAGGAAUUGACGGAAGGGCACCACCAGGAGUGGAGCUUGCGGCUCAAUUUGACUCAACACGGGAAAUCUUACCAGGUCCAGACAUAGCGAGGAUUGACAGAUUGAUAGCUCUUUCUUGAUUCUAUGGGUAUUUUUGGUGGUGCAUGGCCGUUCUUAGUUGGUGGAGUGAUUUGUCUGGUUAAUUCCGUUAACGAACGAGACCUUAACCUGCUAAAUAGUCACGCGUUUUUCGAAACGUGGGCGGCUUCUUAGAGGGACUAUCGGUGCGAGCCGGUGGAAGUUUAAGGCAAAAACAGGUCUGUGAUGCCCUUAGAUGUCCUGGGCCGCACGCGUGCUACACUGAUGCAUACAGCGAGCACUUCCCGGCCCCGAAAGGCGGCUGGUAAUCAGCAAUAUGCAUCGUGAUGGGGAUAGUUCUUUGGAAUUCUUGAACUUGAACGAGGAAUGCCUAGUAGGCGCAAGUCAUUACCUUGCGUCGAUUAAGUCCCUGCCCUUUGUACACACCGCCCGUCGCUCCUACCGAUUCGAGUGAUCCGGUGAACCUUUUGGACCGGAGCUGCUUGCAGUUCUGGAAAAUCAAGUAAACCACGUCACUUAGAGGAAGGAGAAGUCGUAACAAGGUUUCCGUAGGUGAACCUGCGGAAGGAUCAAU